Molecule: ribosomal RNA, 459 nt
Filed under: uncultured bacterium
Lineage: Bacteria
Description: partial 16S ribosomal RNA
Rfam family: Bacterial small subunit ribosomal RNA
Source: RNAcentral
CCUACGGGCGGCAGCAGUGAGGAAUAUUGGUCAAUGGGCGCGAGCCUGAACCAGCCAAGUAGCGUGAAGGAUGACUGCCCUACGGGUUGUAAACUUCUUUUAUAAAGGAAUAAAGUGAGGCACGUGUGCCUUUUUGUAUGUACUUUAUGAAUAAGGAUCGGCUAACUCAGUGCCAGCAGCCGCGGCAAUACGGAGGAUCCGAGCGUUAUCCGGAUUUAUUGGGGUUAAAGGGAGCGUAGAUGGGUUGUUAAGUCAGUUGUGAAAGUUUGCGGCUCAACCGUAAAAUUGCAAUUGAUACUGGCAGCCUUGAGUACAGUUGGGGUAGGCGGAAUUCGUGGUGUAGCGGUGAAAUGCUUAGAUAUCACGAAGAACUCCGAGUGCGAAGGCAGCUUACGAAACUGCCACUGACAUUGAUGCUCGAAAGUGUGGGUAUCAAACAGGAUUAGAUACCGUGUAGUC